CCCAGACUCCUACGGGAGGCAGCAGUGGGGGAUAUUGCACAAUGGGGGAAACCCUGAUGCAGCGACGCCGCGUGAGUGAAGAAGUAUUUCGGUAUGUAAAGCUCUAUCAGCAGGGAAGAAAAAAGACGGUACCUGACUAAGAAGCCCCGGCUAACUACGUGCCAGCAGCCGCGGUAAUACGUAGGGGGCAAGCGUUAUCCGGAUUUACUGGGUGUAAAGGGAGCGUAGACGGCAAUACAAGUCGGAAGUGAAAUACCCGGGCUUAACCUGGGAACUGCUUUGGAAACUGUAUGGCUGGAGUGCUGGAGAGGUAAGCGGAAUUCCUAGUGUAGCGGUGAAAUGCGUAGAUAUUAGGAGGAACACCAGUGGCGAAGGCGGCUUACUGGACAGUAACUGACGUUGAGGCUCGAAAGCGUGGGGAGCAAACAGGAUUAGAUACCCCAGUAA
RNAcentral lists this ribosomal RNA (447 nucleotides) under uncultured bacterium. RNAcentral describes it as "bacterial SSU rRNA". It matches the Rfam family "Bacterial small subunit ribosomal RNA", at positions 330 to 793 of the family's 1533-position model. The record is from RNAcentral.